Long non-coding RNA from Triticum dicoccoides, 811 nucleotides. RefSeq lists it as uncharacterized. The record is from RefSeq and is a predicted model, not a curated record. Lineage: Eukaryota; Viridiplantae; Streptophyta; Magnoliopsida; Poales; Poaceae. The transcript has 3 exons.
CAGCUAGAGGGUGAAUUGGAAGUAAUGGAGAUUUUGCCAGGUGAGGAAAUUUCGAAGAAGAAGAGAAUAGAUGAACUUCGUGAGACUCUAAAAGAGAAGUAUGAGAGUAAGGAAGAUAUGGAAUCACUUCAGAAGAUCCUUAUUGCCAAGCAAACAGCACACACCAAUGAGUUGCGACCUGCUAGGAAGAAGCUAAUAGAUGGCUUCCUGGAUCUUACAAAGGGUCGAGGAAAUAUAGGCAUCAAAAGAAUAUGAAAACUUGAUGAAAAGGCGUUUUUAAAUGCUGGCAAAAAACAGUUACCAGAAGACGAUGCAGAAUUUGCAGCUACCAUUCUUUAUUCAGAGUGGGAGGCUCAGAUUGAAAAUUGGGCUGCCACGGUUCAUGGAAAAAACACGGAAAUGAUCUCCAAGGACAAUGAGAAGCUCUGGGAACUAAAAGAAAAGCAUGGUGAUGAAAUCUACACUUUGGUAACAAAGGCGCUGGAUGAAAUCAACGAGUACAAGCCUUUUGCCGAAGAACAAGGUGGAGAAAUCUUUGGUGUACCUGAGUUGUGGAACUACAAGGCGGACCGGCGAGCAACCGUAAGAGAAGGCAUCCAGUACGCCCUGGAUAAGUGGACGACGAAUAAGAGGAAGCGCUGAGGCCCGAAUCUGGCUUAGCGUCCUUCAUGUGUUUCCCUGAACUAGCAUCGUUGUCAUUUUGCCUGAAUUAGAUACUUUAUCGGCUGUGAAGGAGCUCUCUAUUCAAUUAUUUGAAAAAUAUAUUUCUCGGACAUGUUUUGGUUGAUAUUAUCUAACUCCUUGAUCUUUU